UACGAAGGGGACUAGCGUUGUUCGGAAUUACUGGGCGUAAAGCGCACGUAGGCGGAUUUGUUAGUCAGGGGUGAAAUCCCGGGGCUCAACCUCGGAACUGCCUUUGAUACUGCAAGUCUCGGGUCCGAUAGAGGUGGGUGGAAUUCCUAGUGUAGAGGUGAAAUUCGUAGAUAUUAGGAAGAACACCGGUGGCGAAGGCGGCCCACUGGAUCGGUACUGACGCUGAGGUGCGAAAGCGUGGGGAGCAAACAGG
RNAcentral lists this ribosomal RNA (253 nucleotides) under uncultured bacterium. Its description in RNAcentral is "partial 16S ribosomal RNA". It matches the Rfam family "Bacterial small subunit ribosomal RNA", at positions 524 to 776 of the family's 1533-position model. The record is from RNAcentral.